RNAcentral lists this non-coding RNA (769 nucleotides) under Glyphodes perspectalis. Lineage: Eukaryota; Metazoa; Arthropoda; Insecta; Lepidoptera; Crambidae. The record is from RNAcentral.
UAUGGUUUAAAAAUUUUAUUAUAAAUUUAUUUUGCAUAUAAAUUUUAGUAAUAAUUUUUAAUUAUUUUAAUAAUAAUUAAUUUAAUAAAUAGUAGUAAUUAAUAUUAAAAAUUUAAGAAAUUAAGAUUUAGUAAUAUUUAAAUUAAUAACAAAUUUUGUGCCAGCAGUUGCGGUUAAACAAAAGUUAAAUUAAAUUUUAUUAGUAAUUAAUAAAUAAAUUAUUAAUUUUAAAUAAAUAUUAAAUUAUUAAGUGAAAUUUUAAUUUAAUUAAAAUUAAUAUAAAAUUUAUGAUUUAAUAAAUUUUUAAAAUAAACUAGGAUUAGAUACCCUAUUAUUAAAAAUUUAAAUUUAUAAUGCUAAAAUAGUAUGUAAUUAUUUAUUGAAACUUAAAUAAUUUGGCGGUAUCUUAGUUCAUUUAGAGGAAUCUGUUUAAUAAUUGAUAGUCCACGAAUAAAUUUACUUAAUUUAAUAUUUUGUAUAUCGUUGUUAAAAAAAUAUUUUUAAAUAAUAAUAAUAUUUAAAAAUUAAAAUUAAAAAUUAAAUCAGAUCAAGAUGCAGAUUAUAAUUAAGAAUAUAAUGGAUUACAAUGAAUUUAUUUAAACUAAUAUUAAUUUGUAAUAAUUAAUUGAAGGUGGAUUUAAAUGUAAUUUUAUUUAAUUUAUUAAAAUGAUUAUAAAUUAAGAUAUGUACAUAUUGCCCGUCGCUUUCAUAAAUAAAUUGGAAUAAGUCGUAACAAAGUAGAGGUACUGGAAAGUGUUUCUAGAAAUAC